GUAACAAGGUUUCCGUAGGUGAACCUGCGGAAGGAUCAUUACCGAGUGUAGGGUUCCUAGCGAGCCCAACCUCCCACCCGUGUUUACUGUACCUUAGUUGCUUCGGCGGGCCCGCCAUUCAUGGCCGCCGGGGGCUCUCAGCCCCGGGCCCGCGCCCGCCGGAGACACCACGAACUCUGUCUGAUCUAGUGAAGUCUGAGUUGAUUGUAUCGCAAUCAGUUAAAACUUUCAACAAUGGAUCUCUUGGUUCCGGCAUCGAUGAAGAACGCAGCGAAAUGCGAUAACUAGUGUGAAUUGCAGAAUUCCGUGAAUCAUCGAGUCUUUGAACGCACAUUGCGCCCCCUGGUAUUCCGGGGGGCAUGCCUGUCCGAGCGUCAUUGCUGCCCAUCAAGCACGGCUUGUGUGUUGGGUCGUCGUCCCCUCUCCGGGGGGGACGGGCCCCAAAGGCAGCGGCGGCACCGCGUCCGAUCCUCGAGCGUAUGGGGCUUUGUCACCCGCUCUGUAGGCCCGGCCGGCGCUUGCCGAACGCAAAUCAAUCUUUUUCCAGGUUGACCUCGGAUCAGGUAGGGAUACCCGCUGAACUUAAGCAUAUC
RNAcentral lists this unclassified non-coding RNA (593 nucleotides) under Aspergillus flavus. RNAcentral describes it as "sequence contains 18S rRNA gene, ITS1, 5.8S rRNA gene, ITS2, 28S rRNA gene". The stretch from base 224 to 377 matches the Rfam family "5.8S ribosomal RNA". The record is from RNAcentral. Lineage: Eukaryota; Fungi; Ascomycota; Eurotiomycetes; Eurotiales; Aspergillaceae.